Sorghum bicolor (sorghum) is the source of this 109-nucleotide microRNA precursor. It matches the Rfam family "MIR5565 microRNA precursor family". NCBI's taxonomy places the organism in Eukaryota, Viridiplantae, Streptophyta, Magnoliopsida, Poales, Poaceae. The record is from Rfam.
GUAGUCGGAUUUGUAUCGAUCCAUAUAUGUUGGGGUGGAUUGGAGUAGAACUUAAACUAAAUUCCACACUAAUCCACACCAACACAUGUGGAUUGAGGUGAAUUUGAUA